CAGGUCACUCCUACGGGAGGCAGCAGUCGAGGAUCUUCGGCAAUGGGCGCAAGCCUGACCGAGCGACGCCGCGUGUGCGAUGAAGCCCUUCGGGGUGUAAAGCUCUUUCGUCAGGGACGAUAAUGACGGUACCUGGAGAAGCAGCUGCGGCUAACUACGUGCCAGCAGCCGCGGUAAUACGUAGGCAGCAAGCGUUGUUCGGAGUUACUGGGCGUAAAGGGUGUGUAGGCGGUUCUUUAAGUUUGGUGUGAAAUCUCCCGGCUCAACUGGGAGGGUGCGCCGAAUACUGAGGGACUAGAGUACGGGAGAGGAAAGUGGAAUUCCUGGUGUAGCGGUGAAAUGCGUAGAUAUCAGGAGGAACACCGGUGGUGUAGACGGCUUUCUGGACCGACACUGACGCUGAGACACGAAAGCGUGGGUAGCAAACAGGAUUAGAUACCCCGGUAGUCCACGCCGUAAACGAUGGGCACUUGGUGUGUCGGGUCUUACAGUCCCGACGUGCCGGAGCUAACGCGUUAAGUGUCCCGCCUGGGGAGUACGGUCGCAAGGCUGAAACUUAAAGGAAUUGACG
This 571-nucleotide ribosomal RNA is filed under the name uncultured Acidobacteriota bacterium. RNAcentral's name for it is "bacterial SSU rRNA". It matches the Rfam family "Bacterial small subunit ribosomal RNA", at positions 329 to 915 of the family's 1533-position model. Lineage: Bacteria; Pseudomonadati; Acidobacteriota. The record is from RNAcentral.